UUGAUUUCAAUGGGUGACCAGAAGGAAGCUUGAUUACACAGUAGUAUUUCAGGGCCUGUCUCCCCUGCCCCACUUUAAAUAAACAACAUUUUGGAUGGAGAAUUAAGACUGACAAGUGAAUUUUGACUAGGGAUGUGAAUGAGAAGAGAGUGAAUGUCUCCACAUCAGAAUGGAAAAGGCAGAAGGGGCAGUGUGGAUAAAAGCACAGAGACGUGAGUGGGAGAAGAAGGAGUGAAGGGUGAACAAAAAAAAAGAAGUAGAAAGAGGAAAGCAGACUUCAAAUUGAGUCAACAGGAUGAAGACUUGAGAUUUGGAGUCAAAACAUCCAA
Molecule: long non-coding RNA, 329 nt
Organism: Gopherus evgoodei (Goodes thornscrub tortoise)
Lineage: Eukaryota; Metazoa; Chordata; Testudines; Testudinidae
Exons: 2
Source: RefSeq, a predicted model, not a curated record